UCAAUCUUCCUUGAACUGGAUUUGUUCCAAAGGCUUGUACUUCCAUAUCCUUAAAGUUCUGAUGAGACAACAUCCAAGUCUGGUGGAUGAAUCAUCACCGUGCUAUGAGAGUGUGGUUGAUUGCUGAGAUCUCUUGUGGGUACUGGCUGUAGAGGAUUGUUCUCAGACGGUUACUUCCAGUUAUGAUAGUCAUGCAGUUGUCUGACAGACC
Magnolia sinica is the source of this 211-nucleotide small nucleolar RNA. RefSeq annotates it as small nucleolar RNA U3. The transcript has a single exon. Lineage: Eukaryota; Viridiplantae; Streptophyta; Magnoliopsida; Magnoliales; Magnoliaceae. The record is from RefSeq and is a predicted model, not a curated record.